GAGCGGGUUGUUGUUAAGUAGGUUGUGGUUGUAUUUGUGUAUUGUGUACCCAAUUGUGUCGAAAGAAAAUGCGUAGAAGAAGUUUGUUUCCUCGAGUAAUGAUCGAUAAAGACACGGAGUCGGAGAAAAGUUCUUCUGAUGAAGAAGAAGAAGAUGCUAAUGUAGUUUCACCUGAAGAGGAGAGAAUACAAAAAGGGAAAA
Molecule: unclassified non-coding RNA, 201 nt
Filed under: Hevea brasiliensis (rubber tree)
Lineage: Eukaryota; Viridiplantae; Streptophyta; Magnoliopsida; Malpighiales; Euphorbiaceae
Source: RNAcentral